CCUCAUCCAUUUGAAUGGGGGCACCAUUAUAUAAACAUAGCACAUUCCCAUACAAAAAUAGUUGAAAUGCAUGUGAAUACUUACAUCUCUGACCAUGGAUAAAAGUCGAAAUUUUAGUUAUUAUUACUAUUAUUACGUGAGUCUUCAAUGAAAGAUAAAAAUGUAAAGAAAUUCUUUAUUUAUUAAUAGCUUUAAUAACAUACAGUUGCUGGGAAAAGAAAAAGAAGAUAAGAAGAAAUAAUUCUUUUAUGCUUCUUAUCAAAAAUAUAAAUUAAUC
RNAcentral lists this long non-coding RNA (277 nucleotides) under Olea europaea (common olive). RNAcentral describes it as "long non-coding RNA (OEUR_LNC009311)". The record is from RNAcentral. Lineage: Eukaryota; Viridiplantae; Streptophyta; Magnoliopsida; Lamiales; Oleaceae.